This 301-nucleotide ribosomal RNA is filed under the name uncultured bacterium. RNAcentral describes it as "partial 16S ribosomal RNA". It matches the Rfam family "Bacterial small subunit ribosomal RNA", at positions 509 to 807 of the family's 1533-position model. The record is from RNAcentral.
CAGUAGCCACGGUAAUGCGUAGGUGGCAAGCGUUGUCCGGAAUUAUUGGGCGUAAAGCGCGCGCAGGCGGUUUCUUAAGUCUGAUGUGAAAGCCCCCGGCUUAACCGGGGAGGGUCAUUGGAAACUGGGAGACUUAGAGUGCAGAAGAGGAGAGUGGAAUUCCAUGUGUAGCGGUGAAAUGCGUAGAGAUGUGGAGGAACACCAGUGGCGAAGGCGACUCUCUGGUCUGUAACUGACGCUAAGGCUCGAAAGCCAGGGGAGCGAACGGGAUUAGAUACCCCUGUAGUCCCUGUCUCUUAUU